Molecule: ribosomal RNA, 460 nt
Filed under: uncultured bacterium
Lineage: Bacteria
Description: partial 16S ribosomal RNA
Rfam family: Bacterial small subunit ribosomal RNA
Source: RNAcentral
CCUACGGGGGGCAGCAGUGAGGAAUAUUGGUCAAUGGACGAGAGUCUGAACCAGCCAAGUAGCGUGAAGGAUGACUGCCCUAUAGGUUGUAAACUUCUUUUAUAUGGGAAUAAAACGUUCCACGUGUGGGAUUUUGUAUGUACCAUAUGAAUAAGGAUCGGCUAACUCCGUGCCAGCAGCCGCGGUAAUACGGAGGAUCCGAGCGUUAUCCGGAUUUAUUGGGUUUAAAGGGAGCGUAGGGGGAUUGUUAAGUCAGUUGUGAAAGUUUGCGGCUCAACCGUAAAAUUGCAGUUGAAACUGGCAGUCUUGAGUACAGUAGAGGUGGGCGGAAUUCGUUGUGUAGCGGUGAAAUGCUUAGAUAUCACGAAGAACUCCGAUUGCGAAGGCAGUUCACUGGACUGCAACUGACACUGAGGCUCGAAAGUGUGGGUAUCAAACAGGAUUAGAUACCCGAGUAGUC